GAUUAUGGCUCAGGAUGAACGCUAGCUACAGGCUUAACACAUGCAAGUCGAGGGGCAGCAUGAGAUUAGCUUGCUAAUCUGAUGGCGACCGGCGCACGGGUGAGUAACGCGUAUCCAACCUUCCCCCUACUCAGGCAUAGCCCGGUGAAAACCGGAUUAACCCCUGAUAGUUUCACUAGAUGGCAUCUGACGGUGAAUAAAGCUCAGCGGUAAGGGAUGGGGAUGCGUCUGAUUAGCUUGUUGGCGGGGUAACGGCCCACCAAGGCGACGAUCAGUAGGGUUCUGAGAGGAAGGUCCCCCACAUUGGAACUGAGACACGGUCCAAACUCCUACGGGAGGCAGCAGUGAGGAAUAUUGGUCAAUGGGCGCGAGCCUGAACCAGCCAAGUAGCGUGCAGGAAGACGGCCCUAUGGGUUGUAAACUGCUUUUGUACGGGAAUAAAGUCAUCCACGUGUGGGUGUUUGCAUGUACCGUAAGAAUAAGGACCGGCUAAUUCCGUGCCAGCAGCUGC
This 511-nucleotide ribosomal RNA is filed under the name uncultured bacterium. RNAcentral describes it as "bacterial SSU rRNA". It matches the Rfam family "Bacterial small subunit ribosomal RNA", at positions 15 to 518 of the family's 1533-position model. The record is from RNAcentral.